Chinchilla lanigera (long-tailed chinchilla) is the source of this 364-nucleotide long non-coding RNA. RefSeq lists it as uncharacterized. NCBI's taxonomy places the organism in Eukaryota, Metazoa, Chordata, Mammalia, Rodentia, Chinchillidae. The record is from RefSeq and is a predicted model, not a curated record. The transcript is spliced from 3 exons.
GUUGCAGACCAGAGGCGGGCAAAGUUUCAUGACAGAGACUGUCUCCAGGAUGCUUCCCAGAAAGUGCCUGCACGAUACCAGCCCUCUUCUCUUCCUUCCCUGGACUUGGCAGGGUCUCACUAGGUGGUGCAGGCUGCCCUCACAGUACCUGGCACACAGCUGGAGCACAGCAAGAAUGUGAGACACCAAGGAAUGAAAGGGUUCACCCUCCAAGAAGCUGGGAGUCAGAGCCCUGUGUCCUCACCGAAUGUGAUGGCCUCAGGGGUGAAUCCAGCAGGUCACAGAUGAGGAUCCGCAGGCUGGAAGCGGGGAGCAGAGCGAGAAAGCGCAGGAUGGCUAAGAUCUCAGGCCAUAUGCUCACCGC